UACGUAGGAUGCAAGCGUUGUCCGGAAUUAUUGGGCGUAAAGAGCGCGCAGGCGGUAACUCAAGUCAGAUGUGAAAUAUCCGGGCUUAACCCGGAGGGGUCAUUUGAAACUGAGUAACUAGAGUACAGCAGAGGAUAGCGGAAUUCCCGGUGUAGUGGUGAAAUGCGUAGAUAUCGGGAGGAACACCAGUGGCGAAGGCGGCCACCUGGACGAACACUGACGCUGAGACUCGAAAGCGUGGGGAGCAAACAGG
Molecule: ribosomal RNA, 253 nt
Filed under: uncultured bacterium
Lineage: Bacteria
Description: partial 16S ribosomal RNA
Rfam family: Bacterial small subunit ribosomal RNA
Source: RNAcentral